CCUACGGGUGGCUGCAGUAGGGAAUCUUCCACAAUGGGCGAAAGCCUGAUGGAGCAACGCCGCGUGGGUGAAGAAGGUCUUCGGAUCGUAAAACCCUGUUGUUCGAGAAGCAAGUGCGUGAGAGUAACUGUUCACGUUUCGACGGUAUCUAACCAGAACGCCACGGCUAACUACGUGCCACCAGCCGCGGGAAUACGUAGGUGGGAAGCGUUAUCCGGCUUUGUUGGGCGUGAAGGGCACGCAGGCGGGCUUGUAAGUCUGAUGUGAAAGCCUUCGGCUUAACCGGAGUAGUGCAUUGGAAACUGGGAGACUUGAGUGCAGAAGAGGAGAGUGGAACUCGAUGUGUAGCGGGGAAAUGCGUAGAUAUAUGGCAGAACACCAGUGGCGAAAGCGGCUCUCUGGUCUGUAACUGACGCUGAGGUUCGAAAGCGUGGGUAGCAAACAGGAUUAGAUACCCGGGUAGUC
RNAcentral lists this ribosomal RNA (465 nucleotides) under uncultured bacterium. RNAcentral's name for it is "partial 16S ribosomal RNA". It matches the Rfam family "Bacterial small subunit ribosomal RNA", at positions 338 to 795 of the family's 1533-position model. The record is from RNAcentral.